GGGUUGUGAGGUUAAGCGACUAAGCGUACACGGUGGAUGCCCUGGCAGUCAGAGGCGAUGAAGGGCGUGCUAAUCUGCGAUAAGCGCCGGUAAGGUGAUAUGAACCGUUAUAACCGGCGAUACCCGAAUGGGGAAACCCAGUGUGAUUCGUCACACUAUCAUUAACUGAAUCCAUAGGUUAAUGAGGCGAACCGGGGGAACUGAAACAUCUAAGUACCCCGAGGAAAAGAAAUCAACCGAGAUUCCCCCAGUAGCGGCGAGCGAACGGGGAGGAGCCCAGAGCCUGAAUCAGCAUGUGUGUUAGUGGAAGCGUCUGGAAAGGCGCGCGAUACAGGGUGACAGCCCCGUACACAAAAGCGCAUGUGCUGUGAGCUCGAUGAGUAGGGCGGGACACGUGGUAUCCUGUCUGAAUAUGGGGGGACCAUCCUCCAAGGCUAAAUACUCCUGACUGACCGAUAGUGAACCAGUACCGUGAGGGAAAGGCGAAAAGAACCCCGGCGAGGGGAGUGAAAAAGAACCUGAAACCGUGUACGUACAAGCAGUGGGAGCACCCUUUGGGGUGUGACUGCGUACCUUUUGUAUAAUGGGUCAGCGACUUAUAUUCUGUAGCAAGGUUAACCGAAUAGGGGAGCCGGAGGGAAACCGAGUCUUAACCGGGCGUUAAGUUGCAGGGUAUAGACCCGAAACCCGGUGAUCUAGCCAUGGGCAGGUUGAAGGUUGGGUAACACUAACUGGAGGACCGAACCGACUAAUGUUGAAAAAUUAGCGGAUGACCUGUGGCUGGGGGUGAAAGGCCAAUCAAACCGGGAGAUAGCUGGUUCUCCCCGAAAGCUAUUUAGGUAGCGCCUCGUGAAUUCAUCUCCGGGGGUAGAGCACUGUUUCGGCUAGGGGGCCAUCCCGGCUUACCAACCCGAUGCAAACUGCGAAUACCGGAGAAUGUUAUCACGGGAGACACACGGCGGGUGCUAACGUCCGUCGUGAAGAGGGAAACAACCCAGACCGCCAGCUAAGGUCCCAAAGUCAUGGUUAAGUGGGAAACGAUGUGGGAAGGCCCAGACAGCCAGGAUGUUGGCUUAGAAGCAGCCAUCAUUUAAAGAAAGCGUAAUAGCUCACUGGUCGAGUCGGCCUGCGCGGAAGAUGUAACGGGGCUAAACCAUGCACCGAAGCUGCGGCAGCGACGCUGAUGCGUUGUUGGGUAGGGGAGCGUUCUGUAAGCCUGCGAAGGUGUGUCGUGAGGCAUGCUGGAGGUAUCAGAAGUGCGAAUGCUGACAUAAGUAACGAUAAAGCGGGUGAAAAGCCCGCUCGCCGGAAGACCAAGGGUUCCUGUCCAACGUUAAUCGGGGCAGGGUGAGUCGACCCCUAAGGCGAGGCCGAAAGGCGUAGUCGAUGGGAAACGGGUUAAUAUUCCCGUACUUGGUGUUACUGCGAAGGGGGGACGGAGAAGGCUAUGUUGGCCGGGCGACGGUUGUCCCGGUUUAAGCGUGUAGGUGUGUGUUCCAGGUAAAUCCGGUUCACUUUAACACUGAGGCGUGAUGACGAGGCACUACGGUGCUGAAGCAACAAAUGCCCUGCUUCCAGGAAAAGCCUCUAAGCAUCAGGUAACAUCAAAUCGUACCCCAAACCGACACAGGUGGUCAGGUAGAGAAUACCAAGGCGCUUGAGAGAACUCGGGUGAAGGAACUAGGCAAAAUGGUGCCGUAACUUCGGGAGAAGGCACGCUGACACGUAGGUGAAGUGAUUUACUCAUGGAGCUGAAGUCAGUCGAAGAUACCAGCUGGCUGCAACUGUUUAUUAAAAACACAGCACUGUGCAAACACGAAAGUGGACGUAUACGGUGUGACGCCUGCCCGGUGCCGGAAGGUUAAUUGAUGGGGUCAGCGCAAGCGAAGCUCCUGAUCGAAGCCCCGGUAAACGGCGGCCGUAACUAUAACGGUCCUAAGGUAGCGAAAUUCCUUGUCGGGUAAGUUCCGACCUGCACGAAUGGCGUAAUGAUGGCCAGGCUGUCUCCACCCGAGACUCAGUGAAAUUGAACUCGCUGUGAAGAUGCAGUGUACCCGCGGCAAGACGGAAAGACCCCGUGAACCUUUACUAUAGCUUGACACUGAACAUUGAGCCUUGAUGUGUAGGAUAGGUGGGAGGCUUUGAAGUGUGGACGCCAGUCUGCAUGGAGCCGGCCUUGAAAUACCACCCUUUAAUGUUUGAUGUUCUAACGUGGACCCGUGAUCCGGGUUGCGGACAGUGUCUGGUGGGUAGUUUGACUGGGGCGGUCUCCUCCUAAAGAGUAACGGAGGAGCACGAAGGUUGGCUAAUCCUGGUCGGACAUCAGGAGGUUAGUGCAAUGGCAUAAGCCAGCUUGACUGCGAGCGUGACGGCGCGAGCAGGUGCGAAAGCAGGUCAUAGUGAUCCGGUGGUUCUGAAUGGAAGGGCCAUCGCUCAACGGAUAAAAGGUACUCCGGGGAUAACAGGCUGAUACCGCCCAAGAGUUCAUAUCGACGGCGGUGUUUGGCACCUCGAUGUCGGCUCAUCACAUCCUGGGGCUGAAGUAGGUCCCAAGGGUAUGGCUGUUCGCCAUUUAAAGUGGUACGCGAGCUGGGUUUAGAACGUCGUGAGACAGUUCGGUCCCUAUCUGCCGUGGGCGCUGGAGAACUGAGGGGGGCUGCUCCUAGUACGAGAGGACCGGAGUGGACGCAUCACUGGUGUUCGGGUUGUCAUGCCAAUGGCACUGCCCGGUAGCUAAAUGCGGAAGAGAUAAGUGCUGAAAGCAUCUAAGCACGAAACUUGCCCCGAGAUGAGUUCUCCCUGAGACUUAGAGUCUCCUGAAGGAACGUUGAAGACGACGACGUUGAUAGGCCGGGUGUGUAAGCGCAGCGAUGCGUUGAGCUAACCGGUACUAAUGAACCGUGAGGCUUAACCUUACAACGCCGAAG
RNAcentral lists this ribosomal RNA (2927 nucleotides) under Salmonella enterica subsp. enterica serovar Johannesburg. Its description in RNAcentral is "23S ribosomal RNA". It matches the Rfam family "Bacterial large subunit ribosomal RNA". The record is from RNAcentral. Lineage: Bacteria; Pseudomonadati; Pseudomonadota; Gammaproteobacteria; Enterobacterales; Enterobacteriaceae. RNAcentral also lists the same sequence under 1 other name.